UUUAAUUAUUAUAAGUUAGCAAUCUUGCGUCAUUCUUCAUUUCAAAAUGAAUUACACGAAUUGUAACAUCCAUGUGACACCCGUUUCAAAAAUAAAGUGCACAGGUAAAUAAAAGAAAAACUUUAUAGUAAUUGUGAUUUCAUGAUCAUAGCGGAAAAAUGUAAUUAUUUCUUUCCUUGGACCAUGAUUUUCAUCUUAAUUGCGGAUUUUUAUUAUUUGUUAACGACACGUGAUUUUGAUCGGUCGUUGAGAGGGGAUAACUCCAUCACAAUAAGUACAUGUUCAAAGUCAUAUGGCUCUCGGACCUAUAUAUUGAUUGUUGUUGUUAACUUUUGUUUUAACUUAAAUGUUUUCGGAGGAGUCGAGCGCAAUUGUUUCGUGUUAUCGUAUGUGCUUUCAAUUUUGUAAUGUAAUU
Molecule: long non-coding RNA, 415 nt
Filed under: Mytilus galloprovincialis (Mediterranean mussel)
Lineage: Eukaryota; Metazoa; Mollusca; Bivalvia; Mytilida; Mytilidae
Source: RNAcentral